RNAcentral lists this long non-coding RNA (1216 nucleotides) under Strigops habroptila (Kakapo). Its description in RNAcentral is "lncRNA (ENSSHBG00005021119.1)". The record is from RNAcentral. Lineage: Eukaryota; Metazoa; Chordata; Aves; Psittaciformes; Psittacidae.
CUUUUUUUUUUUUUUUCAUUUUUAAUUAGAAAUGAAGAGCUUCUUAACUAGGCAGACCAAUAGCAAAAUAAAAAGUUAAUCAUGGCAUAACCUCACAUCUAGUUCUUACUUGGAGCGGGAAGAGAGACUGUUAAACACUGACAGGGACUGUACAAAAACUUCCCCUUAAUCUAAGUCCUAGUUAUUCCUUUAUGUCCUAGCAUUUUAGGUACUUAACUGAGAUGUACACUGAUAUUGGAAACCAGGACGCUUAAUAAUAUCUGUUCCCAGUUCUCUGGACUGCCAUACUUUGGCUUUAGGUAGAUUGAUACAUCUUGCUGAUGCAUAAUUUUAGGUUGGUAAUACUCUUAAUGCUUGAUAGAAUGGAUAACAAAUAAUUCUUUUUUUUUUUUUUUUUUAAAUCUUCCACCCCCCAAAAUAGUGAACUUCUUUACAAAGUAAAACAGGGGUACUAUGCAGGGAUUGUAAUUCUUCAUUCUAAUCAUGUAAACCAUAAUGAGAUUUUGAAAGCUUGAUUGUUGGAGGUUAUUAGAAAAACAUGCAAUACUGUGUACAAAAGUAGCCUAGAGCUAAAUUGAAACUUCAGUAAAAGCUUUCAAGCUCCAAGUGCCAAUACAUGUAGUUUUAUAGAGAAAUAAUGAAUAACAUCACACUAAAUAUAAUUUUUUUUUUUUUUUUAACAAACACUUUUUUGUUUGUUUUAAAGUUAUUGGUAGGAAUAUCUUACUAGUUUUUUAAAUAACUGCUACCUCAUAUCAGUCUGAGUUUAAAAGUUGUCUGAAAUACUAUUUCAAAAUUGAAAUCAGUAUUAUGUGAUUGUAAAACAUACCAUUGUAUCACUGAUAUUCACUUUUUGUCAAAGUUGAAGAAGCAAUCUCUUUUUUGACUUAUUUUGGAUUGCAUAGAGUAAGUGUCAUCUGGAUGGAUGCAUGAAAAUACAAAUUCCUCCAUCCUAUGAGUAGCAGUAGAACUUGUGCUUAAACCUCGGCGUUUUAGGAAGCUGUCCACCAAUUUCUUCUUCUUUGUGAAUAUAGACAACAUGUAACUGCUCAUUCAAGUUGGCUUUCUGUGUGUUUAUACAGUCUAUCACCUUUUUCUGUCACGCACCUACCCUGCUAUUUUAUUAUUCUAUAUUUUAGCUAAUAUUCUAUAUUAGUAGUUUUCCAUCAUUAUGUCUGUUGUACCACAUUCUUCUGCAUCUCUGCUAUACCUGGUC